Molecule: ribosomal RNA, 253 nt
Filed under: uncultured bacterium
Lineage: Bacteria
Description: partial 16S ribosomal RNA
Rfam family: Bacterial small subunit ribosomal RNA
Source: RNAcentral
UACAGAGGGUGCAAGCGUUGUUCGGAAUUACUGGGCGUAAAGGGCGCGUAGGCGGGCUGUCAAGUCUGGGGUGAAAUCCCGCGGCUCAACCGUGGAACUGCCUCAGAUACUGACGGUCUCGAGGGGGAUAGGGGCGAGCGGAACUGUGAGUGGAGCGGUGAAAUGCGUUGAUAUUCACAGGAACUCCGGUGGCGAAGGCGGCUCGCUGGAUCUCUUCUGACGCUGAGGCGCGAAAGCUAGGGGAGCAAACGGG